Molecule: unclassified non-coding RNA, 432 nt
Filed under: soil metagenome
Description: partial contains 5.8S ribosomal RNA, internal transcribed spacer 2, and large subunit ribosomal RNA
Rfam family: 5.8S ribosomal RNA (bases 1-120)
Source: RNAcentral
GAUGAAGAACGUAGCGAAAUGCGAUAUGUAAUGUGAAUUGCAGAAUUCAGUGAAUCAUCGAAUCUUUGAACGCAUAUUGCGCUCUCUGGUAUUCCGGAGAGCAUGCUUGUUUGAGUAUCAGUAAACACCUCAACUUCCAUAUCUUUUUUGAAAUGGGAGUUGGACUUGAGUGAUCCCAACGCUUUUCCUCACCGAAAAGUGGCGGGUUACUUGAAAUGCAGGUGCAGCUGGACUUUUCUCUGAGCUAUAAGCAUAUCUAUUUAGUCUGCCUAAAAAACAGAUUAUUACCUUUGCUGCAGCUAACAUAAAGGAGAUUAGUUCUUGUGCUGACUGAUGCAGGAUUCACAAAGACGGCUUCGGCCGACUUUGUAAACUCGAUCUCAAAUCAAGUAAGACUACCCGCUGAACUUAAGCAUAUCAAUAAGCGGAGGA